UCAAGUCAUCAUGGCCCUUACGGCCAGGGCUACACACGUGCUACAAUGGCGCGUACAGAGGGCUGCAAGCUAGCGAUAGUGAGCGAAUCCCAAAAAGCGCGUCGUAGUCCGGAUCGGAGUCUGCAACUCGACUCCGUGAAGUCGGAAUCGCUAGUAAUCGCGAAUCAGAAUGUCGCGGUGAAUACGUUCCCGGGCCUUGUACACACCGCCCGUCACACCAUGGGAGUGGGUUGCACCAGAAGUAGAUAGCUUAACCUUCGGGAGGGCGUUUACCACGGUGUGAUUCAUGACUGGGGUGAAGUCGUAACAAGGUAACCCUAGGGGAACCUGGGGUUGGAUCACCUCCUUACCUUAA
RNAcentral lists this ribosomal RNA (355 nucleotides) under Aeromonas salmonicida subsp. achromogenes. RNAcentral describes it as "bacterial SSU rRNA". It matches the Rfam family "Bacterial small subunit ribosomal RNA", at positions 1185 to 1533 of the family's 1533-position model. Lineage: Bacteria; Pseudomonadati; Pseudomonadota; Gammaproteobacteria; Aeromonadales; Aeromonadaceae. The record is from RNAcentral.